This 76-nucleotide transfer RNA is filed under the name Escherichia coli. Its description in RNAcentral is "tRNA-Asn". It matches the Rfam family "tRNA". From Rfam's summary of the family: Transfer RNA (tRNA) molecules are approximately 80 nucleotides in length. Their secondary structure includes four short double-helical elements and three loops (D, anti-codon, and T loops). Further hydrogen bonds mediate the characteristic L-shaped molecular structure. tRNAs have two regions of fundamental functional importance: the anti-codon, which is responsible for specific mRNA codon recognition, and the 3' end, to which the tRNAs corresponding amino acid is attached (by aminoacyl-tRNA synthetases). tRNAs cope with the degeneracy of the genetic code in two manners: having more than one tRNA (with a specific anti-codon) for a particular amino acid; and 'wobble' base-pairing, i.e. permitting non-standard base-pairing at the 3rd anti-codon position. RNAcentral also lists the same sequence under 4 other names. Lineage: Bacteria; Pseudomonadati; Pseudomonadota; Gammaproteobacteria; Enterobacterales; Enterobacteriaceae. The record is from RNAcentral.
UCCUCUAUAGUUCAGUCGGUAGAACGGCGGACUGUUAAUCCGUAUGUCACUGGUUCGAGUCCAGUCAGAGGAGCCA